RNAcentral lists this unclassified non-coding RNA (231 nucleotides) under Hevea brasiliensis (rubber tree). The record is from RNAcentral. Lineage: Eukaryota; Viridiplantae; Streptophyta; Magnoliopsida; Malpighiales; Euphorbiaceae.
GGCGCUAUUUGCAGAGCUAAAGAUUAAAAACAGGCCCUGUCUCUCACUAGGGCUCUGUUGCAUUGCGUUAUCAGUAUUUAUAGACAGUGGAAAUAAUUAGGUUAGGGUUUCUCAUAAUCUUUUGGACAGUUGGACCACCCAGGUUACCGGUUUUGCGCGUCGGGUGUUUGGGUCCCGUCCUUCAAAACUUGGGCUCACAUGAAUGGUCUUGGAAUACUUUGGGUCAAGGUA